This 403-nucleotide ribosomal RNA is filed under the name uncultured bacterium. RNAcentral's name for it is "partial 16S ribosomal RNA". It matches the Rfam family "Bacterial small subunit ribosomal RNA", at positions 30 to 526 of the family's 1533-position model. The record is from RNAcentral.
AUUGAACGCUGGCGGCAGGCCUAACACAUGCAAGUCGAGCGAGCGGCGGACGGGUGAGUAAUGUAUGGGGACUGCCCGAUAGAGGGGGAUAACUACUGGAAACAGUGGCUAAUACCGCAUACUAUCGGAUAACCCAUAUGGGAUUAGCUAGUAGGUGGGGUAAAGGCUCACCAAGGCAACGAUCUCUAGCUGGUCUGAGAGGACGACCAGCCACACUGGGACUGAGACACGGCCCAGACUCCUACGGAGGCAGCAGUGGGGAAUAUUGCACAAUGGGCGCAACCCUGAUGCAGCCAUGCCGCGUGUAUGAAGAAGGCCUUAGGGUUGUAAAGUACUUUCGGCAGAGAAGCGUUACCCGCAGAAGAAGCACCGGCUAACUCCGUGCCAGCAGCCGCGGUAAUAC